This 675-nucleotide ribosomal RNA is filed under the name uncultured bacterium. RNAcentral describes it as "bacterial SSU rRNA". It matches the Rfam family "Bacterial small subunit ribosomal RNA", at positions 8 to 662 of the family's 1533-position model. The record is from RNAcentral.
AGAGUUUGAUCCUGGCUCAGAUUGAACGCUGGCGGCAGGCCUAACACAUGCAAGUCGAGCGGCAGCGACUUAACUGAACCUUCGGGGAACGUUAAGGGCGGCGAGCGGCGGACGGGUGAGUAAUGCCUGGGAAUAUGCCCUGAUGUGGGGGAUAACUAUUGGAAACGAUAGCUAAUACCGCAUAAUCUCUUCGGAGCAAAGAGGGGGACCUUCGGGCCUCUCGCGUCAGGAUUAGCCCAGGUGGGAUUAGCUUGUUGGUGAGGUAAUGGCUCACCAAGGCAACGAUCCCUAGCUGGUCUGAGAGGAUGAUCAGCCACACUGGAACUGAGACACGGUCCAGACUCCUACGGGAGGCAGCAGUGGGGAAUAUUGCACAAUGGGGGAAACCCUGAUGCAGCCAUGCCACGUGUGUGAAGAAGGCCUUCGGGUUGUAAAGCACUUUCAGUAGGGAGGAAGGUAGUGUAGUUAACACCUGCAUUACUUGACGUUACCUACAGAAGAAGCACCGGCUAACUCCGUGCCAGCAGCCGCGGUAAUACGGAGGGUGCGAGCGUUAAUCGGAAUUACUGGGCGUAAAGCGCAUGCAGGCGGCCUGUUAAGUCAGAUGUGAAAGCCCGGGGCUUAACCUCGGAAUUGCAUUUGAAACUGGCAGGCUAGAGUCUUGUAGAGGGGGGU